Molecule: RNA transcript, 6668 nt
Organism: Myotis daubentonii (Daubenton's bat)
Lineage: Eukaryota; Metazoa; Chordata; Mammalia; Chiroptera; Vespertilionidae
Gene: COP1
Gene name: COP1 E3 ubiquitin ligase
Source: RefSeq, a predicted model, not a curated record
GGUUGGCUGCGGCGGCGGCGGCGGCGGCCUGGAGGGCGGUAGUGGUUUUCACUCUGCGCGAUUAGUUUCCUCCGCCCCCUCCCGUUGGACGCUGUUGUGUGGUCGCCUUAAAAAAAUCAACUUUAUUGUUCAUCGGCCCCACCUCCCGCCGCGGAGCGCAUCCUCAGGAUGCACUGAGGCGGAGGGUAGGGGCGGGGGCGGGUCGCGGUCCCUCUCCUCCGAGAGCCCGGCCGGAGGGGAGGGAGUCACGAUGUCCGGGAGCCGCCAGGCCGGGUCGGGCUCCGCUGGGACCAGCCCUGGCUCCUCGGCGGCCUCCUCGGUGACUUCCGCCUCCUCGUCCUUAUCCUCUUCCCCGUCGCCCCCUUCCGUGGCGGCUUCGGCCGCGGCGCUGGGGUCCGGAGGUGCAGCCCAGGCCGCGGGCUCCGGCGGCCUCGGGGGCCCGGGGCGGCCUGUGUUGGUGGCGGCCGCCGUGUCCGGCAGCGGCGGCGGCGGCGGCGGGGUGGUGUCCGCGGGCCUGUCCCGACUUAGCUGCCCGGCCCGGCCCAGCGCCGGCGGAGGAGGCGGCAGCUCCAGCCUCGGCAGCGGCAGCAGAAAGCGACCUCUGCUCGCCCCCCUCUGCAACGGGCUCAUCAACUCUUACGAGGACAAAAGCAACGACUUUGUCUGCCCUAUCUGCUUUGAUAUGAUCGAGGAAGCAUACAUGACGAAAUGUGGCCACAGCUUUUGCUACAAGUGUAUUCAUCAGAGUUUGGAGGACAAUAAUAGAUGUCCCAAGUGUAACUAUGUUGUGGAUAAUAUUGACCAUCUGUAUCCUAAUUUCUUAGUGAAUGAGCUCAUUCUCAAACAGAAGCAAAGGUUUGAGGAAAAGAGGUUCAAAUUGGACCACUCAGUGAGUAGCACCAAUGGCCACAGGUGGCAAAUCUUUCAAGAUUUACUGGGAACUGACCAAGAUAACCUUGAUUUGGCCAACGUCAACCUCAUGUUGGAAUUACUAGUGCAGAAGAAGAAACAACUGGAAGCAGAAUCACAUGCAGCCCAACUACAGAUCCUUAUGGAAUUCCUCAAGGUUGCAAGAAGAAAUAAGAGAGAGCAACUGGAACAGAUCCAGAAGGAGCUGAGUGUUUUGGAAGAGGAUAUUAAAAGAGUGGAAGAAAUGAGUGGCUUAUACUCUCCUGUCAGUGAGGAUAGCACAGUGCCUCAAUUUGAAGCUCCUUCACCAUCACACAGUAGUAUUAUUGAUUCCACGGAAUACAGCCAACCUCCAGGUUUCAGUGGCAGUUCUCAGACUAAGAAACAGCCUUGGUAUAACAGCACUUUAGCUUCAAGACGAAAACGACUCACUGCUCAUUUUGAAGACUUAGAGCAAUGUUACUUUUCUACAAGGAUGUCUCGUAUCUCAGAUGACAGUCGAACAGCAAGCCAGUUGGAUGAAUUUCAGGAAUGUUUGUCCAAGUUUACUCGAUAUAAUUCAGUACGACCUUUGGCUACUCUGUCAUAUGCUAGUGAUCUCUAUAAUGGUUCCAGCAUAGUCUCUAGUAUUGAAUUUGACCGGGAUUGUGACUAUUUUGCAAUUGCUGGGGUUACAAAGAAGAUUAAAGUCUAUGAAUAUGGCACAGUCAUUCAGGAUGCGGUGGAUAUUCAUUACCCUGAAAAUGAAAUGACCUGCAAUUCCAAAAUCAGCUGUAUCAGUUGGAGUAGUUACCAUAAGAACCUGUUAGCAAGCAGUGAUUAUGAAGGCACCGUCAUCCUGUGGGAUGGAUUUACAGGACAAAGGUCAAAGGUCUAUCAGGAGCAUGAGAAGAGGUGUUGGAGUGUUGACUUUAAUUUGAUGGAUCCUAAACUCUUGGCUUCAGGUUCUGAUGAUGCAAAAGUGAAGCUGUGGUCUACCAACCUAGACAAUUCAGUGGCAAGCAUUGAGGCAAAGGCUAAUGUGUGCUGUGUUAAAUUUAGCCCCUCUUCUAGAUACCAUUUAGCUUUCGGCUGUGCAGAUCACUGUGUCCACUACUAUGAUCUUCGUAACACUAAACAGCCAAUUAUGGUAUUCAAAGGACACCGAAAAGCUGUUUCUUAUGCAAAGUUUGUGAGUGGUGAGGAAAUUGUCUCUGCCUCAACAGACAGCCAGUUAAAACUGUGGAAUGUAGGGAAACCAUACUGUCUACGUUCCUUCAAGGGUCAUAUCAAUGAAAAAAACUUUGUAGGCCUCGCUUCCAAUGGUGAUUACAUAGCUUGUGGAAGCGAGAACAACUCUCUUUACCUGUACUAUAAAGGACUUUCUAAGACUUUGCUAACGUUUAAGUUUGAUACAGUUAAAAGUGUUCUUGACAAAGACCGAAAAGAAGAUGAUACAAAUGAAUUUGUUAGUGCUGUGUGCUGGAGGGCACUGCCAGAUGGGCUGCUGAUACACCUAUAGAGUGCACUCCGCCAGCUGCCAUUCAGGAGUCCAAUGUGCUGAUUGCUGCUAACAGUCAGGGUACAAUUAAGGUGCUGGAGUUGGUAUGAAAGGUUUACUCAAGUUAAUUUGUACAUGGUCCUGCUGAAGUAUAUCUGCAGCCAACAGUGAAUGAAGAUAGAGACUAUCACGACAAGUCUCUCCCCGACAUCAUUAUGGGUUUUGAAUUUGUUUUGAGUAUUUUUUUUCUUUUACUUUUUCCCCUCCUUUAUGCCCUUUGGGACAUUGGGAAUGCCCAGUGAACUCUGCACCAUCAAUGUAACUCUGUGGACUUUGCUGCUGUUGAUGGUGUAGUUAUCUAAUUUUUGUGAUAGGGAAACAAAUUCUUUUAAAUAAAAGUAAAUAACAAAAAGUAAUAAAAGUUUAUUGAGCCAUGGUUGAGCUGGGAAAGUUUGUAUCAGUUGUGGCAAGAGACAGUAAUCUCAAGACAGCACACAUGAGCUAUAGAAUAAAGUACCAGUGAGUAGUUUUUAAGGCCCAUAUUUCCCCACCUCUUUGAAAUUAUGCAUGUCAACAUAAAUAUAAAAGUACGUGGGUUCCUUUCAGUGAAUUUAAUGUUUACAGUAGGUGGAAAUAUUAAUAACUUUACCAUACAAAUUCCUUUCUUCAUUCUCUGACCAGAUUUCUCUUGUCAGCAAGUACUAUACUCCUCAGUCCCUCUACUUCUGACCAAAGAUCUAAAAUUUUGACUCGUUAAGACCACAUUCACACAGAAAGGGAAUGUCAGUCUGUGACAUAUCUCUGCCUUUGAAGUGUCACACAUACUAGUAUAUGUCAUAAGCUCUAAAUGCAGGCAAACCAAUUUAUUUCACACAAUCAUAGCUAUUAGUACCGUCCUUGGCAGAAUGUAUACUUAGUUCAACCCUUGCACUUUCUUUAAAGAGCCAAACAGUAAAUAUUUUCAGCUUUGUAGGUCAUAAGGUUUGUGUCACUAUGCAACUCUGUCUUGUAGCAGGAAAGCAGCCACAGACAGUAUGUAAACAAGUGGGCAUAACAGUGAAAUGGGCCAAGGGUUGGAUUUGGCCCACAGUCCCUGGCAUAUAGGUAAAGAAUUAGAAGCUCUGUUACCAAAAUGUCUAAGCCAUGUAAUCUCUUAAACUGUCUAGUUACUUUUCUGAAUAGUUUUCAGUUUGUAGAAGGAAAGAAGUUAGUAGAAUAGCAGGUCAAGGAAAAGUAACGUAAAGCCUUCUGUUUGAGCUACUUUAAAAAUCUGGCCCUAGCCUGUUUGGCUCAGUGGAUGGAGCGUCGGCCUGUGGACUGAAGGGUCCCGGGUUCGAUUCCAGUCAAGGGCAUGUGCCUUGGUUGCGGGCACAUCCCCAGUGGGGGUCGUGCAGGAGGCGGCUGAUCGAUGUUUCUCUCUCAUCGAUGUUUCUGGCUCUCUAUCCCUCUCCCUUCCUCUCUGUAGAAAAUCGAUAAAAUAUUUUAAAAAAAUAAAAAUUAAAAAAAAAAUCUGUAUGCUUUUUAGAAAAAGAUAUAAACAAAAUUAACUCCAUAUAUCUUUGAAAAUAGACACUUGGAGAAACUUGGUGUGAAUAACUAUAUGAAUGAUAAUACAUUUUGUAACCCCUCCAAUAGAGUCUGGAAAAAUAAAUGUGCUAUUCUCAAACACAUUAAUAUUCUGCGGCAAAAAACCCCAAAAAACAACUUUCACCUAACAUGGGAUUAAUAAAGGCUAAAAUUAGUCUUGCAUCAAUUCAGAUCAGUUUUUUUUUUUUUAAUCCUUAACCCAAGGAUAUGUUUUUAUUUUUUUAUUUUUUAGAGAGAGAGAGAAAACAACAUUGAUUAUUGCCUCCCACAUGCACCCCAAUCACAGAUCGAACCCACAAUCUAGGUAUGUGCUCUGACUGGGAAUUGAACCCACAACCUUUUGGUGUAUGGCAGAAUGCCCCAAUGAACGGAGCCACCCAGCCAGGGCCAGAAUAGUUUUUACCAUCCAACGAAUUUACCGCAAACUUAGGUGAAAUUUUUUAUUUUCAGCUUCACAGUUAUAUCUUACUAACUUCUGAGAGUUGAUAAACUUUUGGACUCAAUUCUGAGAGAAAAGGUCACUGUCACUCAAAAGUUAUGCCUGUCAUCAGAACAGUGUUAGUUGACCUUUGUUUCUAAGACUAACGAACGACAUUUUACAGAAGUAUAGAAGGAAUAUUCAAGUGUAGGUUCUUCUCUUGAAGAACUUCACGUAGGCAGAUGGGUCCAGAAAAAUCAUCAAAACAGGAAGCAGAGACUUCAUGUCUCUGAAUGUGCUAAAAUAGAAGCAGAUUGUUGUGGUAUUUUAUGUGAUCUGAUUUUUUAAAAUAUUUUAGUUUGGGGGGUGGUCAUGUUAAUUUUCAUGUGUUUGGAAUGAUGUAAUAAGGUACUUUAGUUAUCAAAGGGACUGAAUUUUUUUAAUCAAUUAUUUUAAGGCAAUACUUUAUUUAAAUUUGUGUUUUAACUUCUUGUAAAUAGUAAGAAACAAUUUUUAAAUUUGUGGUAUUUUUUGUAGGAUGUCAACAUCAAACUAUUACUAUUUCUUGGAAAAAUAACAUCAGUUAAAUAAAGCUUAAAGAUAAUGUACAUUCUAACACCCCCCAAAAAAACCACUUUAACUCAAGAAGAAUUUGGGUUUUAUCUUUCAGUCUAAUCUCUAUUUCAGCAGAUUUGUAGAGGGUUUCUUAGACACAACAUGUGCAUUUGAAACAUUAAAGAUUGAAGAACUUUGUAAGUUCUUAUAACAAGAUGGAGUUACUAGACAUCAGAAAAUUUAUGGGACUGAGCCACAGCUUCAGAAAGAUGAGCAUGGCUGGCAUUAAUAAACAAGGAAGAGACACGUAUGGGGUGAGUUUGAACAAGUAGAGGAGCCCGCUAGAUAUGUGGAGCCUUUUAGGGCAUUGUUGAGAAUUUAAAUUUUGUUAUAAAAGCAGUGCCAAGGAAGGGUUAAAUGGAACAACAUGAUCUCAUUUAUUGUGAGUGGAUGGAUGGAGCAAGAGUACAAGUAGGAAGGUGAUCAGUCAAGAGUUAAUGGUGACUUCAACAAAGAUGAUAGCAUGCUCUAAGCUAAAAACUGUUUCACCUUAAUAGUUUGCCACAGCAUUAGUUCCUAUAUCUGAGAAAGUCUUGAUUAAUUUUUAAAGUCAUUUUCUCAUAAGUCCUGACAAUGAAGAAUACAACUCAGCAAAUUUAUUUCUUCAGUGGUUAUGCAAUUCCGAACUAGCACUAAGUCACUUGGGAAACUCAUGACCAAAAUGUCUGUGUGCUAUUUUAGGGACACCACUUCUCUAAGGUAAGCAGUGCUAGAAACUACCUAGCCUUUGGUUCUAAACAAUCAGAUAAUUUCAUUGCUUUUAAUGUAGUUAUGCAAAUAUAACUGGGAUUAAUGGUCAGGAAAUAGGCUUACUUAGAAGUGAGACAUGAGGAAGUGUAAACUUAGAUCCUGAGCCUGUUGUGUUACAUGACUGAUUAACACAAUAGUAGCACCUUGUAGUUCCUCCCAAGGCAGUUAUUUACCAGCUUCUGUGUGGCUUCUGGUUAAUAUGUUAGGCAUUCCUAGACUAAAGAGAAAACCAUAAUGAUCAUUCUAGAAAUAUAUUGUUGAGCUCCUGCUUUGUGCAAGUGAGGCACUAUGUACUACAUACAAAAUAAAUAAGAUAUGAUCAAAAAGCUUAUUGUCCAGAGGGAAAGAUGGAUAAGUUUACAGUGUAUAAACACAUAAUGUAAAUUUUAGAUGUACGGUAAUGGGAAAAAUUAUAAACUAAAAUGGUAGGAGAUAAAGUUCAGUGGGAGUAGGGGUGGUUCCAUGAAUUUUUUUUCCUUGGAGGAGGUAACGUCUCAGCUGAAUCGUGAAAAGCAAGGAUACAUUCAAGACCAAAGGAAGCAAAGAAGAAGGCAUGAGUAGCUCCUACUGACCAAAGGUGGAAUAAUUUGAGCAACAAAUAAAUGAUAUAAAUGAUUGAAUGAAUAAAUAAAUGGAAAGGAGAGAAAUUUUUCAUGGAACAUAAUUGCCACUUCUAAAUAUGGGCUGUGCAUAGUGAUUUCCUUCCACAAAGUCCAGUAAGGAAGAAAAGAAAAAAAUUUGUAACCUGACAGUGGAGAAACCUGACAAAUAUUGCCAGAGGCAGUUGAUCGGUGUCAUCAUGAAAAGUUGUAAGUCAUGGUGAUGCUAGUAUAUACUCUUGAUAUGAGGUACUGAAAAUGGCAGUUCAACUUUGGGAUCUUCCCAAAAUUAAUAACCCAAUCUAAAUUU